GAGCUUGCUCUCUUUGUCGGCAAGCGGCAAACGGGUGAGUAAUAUCUGGGGAUCUACCCAAAAGAGGGGGAUAACUACUAGAAAUGGUAGCUAAUACCGCAUAAUGUUGAAAAACCAAAGUGGGGGACCUUUUGGCCUCAUGCUUUUGGAUGAACCCAGACGAGAUUAGCUUGUUGGUAGAGUAAUAGCCUACCAAGGCAACGAUCUCUAGCUGGUCUGAGAGGAUAACCAGCCACACUGGAACUGAGACACGGUCCAGACUCCUACGGGAGGCAGCAGUGGGGAAUAUUGCACAAUGGGCGAAAGCCUGAUGCAGCUAUGCCGCGUGUAUGAAGAAGGCCUUAGGGUUGUAAAGUACUUUCAGCGGGGAGGAAAAAAAUAAAACUAAUAAUUUUAUUUCGUGACGUUACCCGCAGAAGAAUCAC
This 425-nucleotide ribosomal RNA is filed under the name Buchnera aphidicola (Acyrthosiphon pisum). RNAcentral's name for it is "bacterial SSU rRNA". It matches the Rfam family "Bacterial small subunit ribosomal RNA", at positions 76 to 493 of the family's 1533-position model. The record is from RNAcentral. Lineage: Bacteria; Pseudomonadati; Pseudomonadota; Gammaproteobacteria; Enterobacterales; Erwiniaceae.